CCUGCGGUUUAAUUGGACUCAACGCCGGGCAGCUCACCGGAUAAGACAGCUGGAUGAUAGCCGGGCUGAAGACUCUGCUUGACUAGCUGAGAGGAGGUGCAUGGCCGUCGUCAGUUCGUACUGUGAAGCAUCCUGUUAAGUCAGGCAACGAGCGAGACCCACGCCAACAGUUGCCAGCAUGUCCUCCGGGAUGAUGGGGACACUGUUGGGACCGCCUCUGCUAAAGAGGAGGAAGGAAUGGGCAACGGUAGGUCAGCAUGCCCCGAAUUAUCCGGGCUACACGCGGGCUACAAUGGUCAGGACAAUGGGUAUCGACACCGAGAGGUGGAGGCAAUCUCCUAAACCUGUCCUUAGUUCGGAUUGUGGGCUGCAACUCGCCCACAUGAAGCUGGAAUCCGUAGUAAUCGCGUUUCAAAAUAGCGCGGUGAAUAUGUCCCUGCUCCUU
RNAcentral lists this ribosomal RNA (445 nucleotides) under uncultured Methanolinea sp. Its description in RNAcentral is "bacterial SSU rRNA". It matches the Rfam family "Archaeal small subunit ribosomal RNA", at positions 894 to 1338 of the family's 1478-position model. Lineage: Archaea; Methanobacteriati; Methanobacteriota; Methanomicrobia; Methanomicrobiales; Methanoregulaceae. The record is from RNAcentral.